Molecule: transfer RNA, 69 nt
Filed under: Pattonomys semivillosus (Speckled spiny tree-rat)
Lineage: Eukaryota; Metazoa; Chordata; Mammalia; Rodentia; Echimyidae
Description: tRNA-Val
Source: RNAcentral
CAAAGCAUAGCUUAACCAAAAGCAUCCGGCCUACACCCGGAAGAUCUCAAGAACAUUUGACUGCUUUGA